This 74-nucleotide transfer RNA is filed under the name Pseudomonadota bacterium. Its description in RNAcentral is "tRNA-His". It matches the Rfam family "tRNA". From Rfam's summary of the family: Transfer RNA (tRNA) molecules are approximately 80 nucleotides in length. Lineage: Bacteria; Pseudomonadati; Pseudomonadota. The record is from RNAcentral. RNAcentral also lists the same sequence under 3 other names.
GCGGGCAUAGCUCAGCUGGUUAGAGCACCAGAUUGUGGCUCUGGGGGUCGCGGGUUCGAAUCCCGUUGCCCGCC